UGAACCUACGGGGCGCAGCAGUGGGGAAUAUUGCACAAUGGGGGGAACCCUGAUGCAGCGACGCCGCGUGAGUGAAGAAGUAUUUCGGUAUGUAAAGCUCUGUCAGCAGGGAAGAAGAAAGACGGUACCUGACCAAGAAGCCCCGGCUAACUACGUGCCAGCAGCCGCGGUAAUACGUAGGGGGCAAGCGUUAUCCGGAUUUACUGGGUGUAAAGGGAGCGUAGACGGCAGGGCAAGUCUGGAGUGAAAGGCAGGGGCCCAACCCCGGGACUGCUCUGGAA
Molecule: ribosomal RNA, 281 nt
Filed under: uncultured bacterium
Lineage: Bacteria
Description: partial 16S ribosomal RNA
Rfam family: Bacterial small subunit ribosomal RNA
Source: RNAcentral